This 497-nucleotide ribosomal RNA is filed under the name uncultured bacterium. Its description in RNAcentral is "partial 16S ribosomal RNA". It matches the Rfam family "Bacterial small subunit ribosomal RNA", at positions 28 to 507 of the family's 1533-position model. The record is from RNAcentral.
GAUGAACGCUGGCGGCGUGCCUAAUACAUGCAAGUCGAGCGAACAGACGAGGAGCUUGCUCCUCUGACGUUAGCGGCGGACGGGUGAGUAACACGUGGAUAACCUACCUAUAAGACUGGGAUAACUUCGGGAAACCGGAGCUAAUACCGGAUAAUAUUUUGAACCGCAUGGUUCAACAGUGAAAGACGGUCUUGCUGUCACUUAUAGAUGGAUCCGCGCCGCAUUAGCUAGUUGGUAAGGUAACGGCUUACCAAGGCAACGAUGCGUAGCCGACCUGAGGGGGUGAUCGGCCACACUGGAACUGAGACACGGUCCAGACUCCUACGGGAGGCGGCAGUAGGGAAUCUUCCGCAAUGGGCGAAAUCCUGACGGAGCAACGCCGCGUGAGUGAAGAAGGUCUUCGGAUCGUAAAACUCUGUUAUUAGGGAAGAACAAAUGUGUAAGUAACUAUGCACGUCUUGACGGUACCUAAUCAGAAAGCCACGGCUAACUACGUG